UGGGGAAUAUUGGACAAUGGGCGAAAGCCUGAUCCAGCAAUGCCGCGUGUGUGAAGAAGGCCUUCGGGUUGUAAAGCACUUUAAGUUGGGAAGAAAAAGCUCUGGCUAAUAUCUAGAGCCUUGACGGUACCAACAGAAUAAGCACCGGCUAACUCUGUGCCAGCAGCCGCGGUAAUACAGAGGGUGCUAGCGUUAAUCGGAUUUACUGGGCGUAAAGCGUGCGUAGGCGGUUUGAUAAGUCGAUUGUGAAAGCCCCGGGCUUAACCUGGGAAUUGCAGUUGAUACUGUCAGACUAGAAAACGGUAGAGGGAGGCGGAACUCCAGGUGUAGCGGUGAAAUGCGUAGAUAUCUGGAAGAACACCGAUGGCGAAGGCAACCUCCUGGGCCUGUUUUGACGCUGAGGCACGAAAGCGUGGGUAGCAAACAGGAUUAGAUACCCUGGUAGUCCACGCCGUAAAACGAUGAGAAC
Molecule: ribosomal RNA, 469 nt
Filed under: uncultured bacterium
Lineage: Bacteria
Description: partial 16S ribosomal RNA
Rfam family: Bacterial small subunit ribosomal RNA
Source: RNAcentral